CAUGAUUUACAUUUGAGUGAGUGGCGAACUGGUGAGUAACACGUGGGAAACCUGCCCAGAAGCGGGGGAUAACACCUGGAAACAGAUGCUAAUACCGCAUAACAACUUGGACCGCAUGGUCCGAGCUUGAAAGAUGGCUUCGGCUAUCACUUUUGGAUGGUCCCGCGGCGUAUUAGCUAGAUGGUGGGGUAACGGCUCACCAUGGCAAUGAUACGUAGCCGACCUGAGAGGGUAAUCGGCCACAUUGGGACUGAGACACGGCCCAAACUCCUACGGGAGGCAGCAGUAGGGAAUCUUCCACAAUGGACGAAAGUCUGAUGGAGCAACGCCGCGUGAGUGAAGAAGGGUUUCGGCUCGUAAAACUCUGUUGUUAAAGAAGAACAUAUCUGAGAGUAACUGUUCAGGUAUUGACGGUAUUUAACCAGAAAGCCACGGCUAACUACGUGCCAGCAGCCGCGGUAAUACGUAGGUGGCAAGCGUUGUCCGGAUUUAUUGGGCGUAAAGCGAGCGCAGGCGGUUUUUUAAGUCUGAUGUGAAAGCCUUCGGCUCAACCGAAGAAGUGCAUCGGAAACUGGGAAACUUGAGUGCAGAAGAGGACAGUGGAACUCCAUGUGUAGCGGUGAAAUGCGUAGAUAUAUGGAAGAACACCAGUGGCGAAGGCGGCUGUCUGGUCUGUAACUGACGCUGAGGCUCGAAAGUAUGGGUAGCAAACAGGAUUAGAUACCCUGGUAGUCCAUACCGUAAACGAUGAAUGCUAAGUGUUGGAGGGUUUCCGCCCUUCAGUGCUGCAGCUAACGCAUUAAGCAUUCCGCCUGGGGAGUACGGCCGCAAGGCUGAAACUCAAAGGAAUUGACGGGGGCCCGCACAAGCGGUGGAGCAUGUGGUUUAAUUCGAAGCUACGCGAAGAACCUUACCAGGUCUUGACAUACUAUGCAAAUCUAAGAGAUUAGACGUUCCCUUCGGGGACAUGGAUACAGGUGGUGCAUGGUUGUCGUCAGCUCGUGUCGUGAGAUGUUGGGUUAAGUCCCGCAACGAGCGCAACCCUUAUUAUCAGUUGCCAGCAUUAAGUUGGGCACUCUGGUGAGACUGCCGGUGACAAACCGGAGGAAGGUGGGGAUGACGUCAAAUCAUCAUGCCCCUUAUGACCUGGGCUACACACGUGCUACAAUGGAUGGUACAACGAGUUGCGAACUCGCGAGAGUAAGCUAAUCUCUUAAAGCCAUUCUCAGUUCGGAUUGUAGGCUGCAACUCGCCUACAUGAAGUCGGAAUCGCUAGUAAUCGCGGAUCAGCAUGCCGCGGUGAAUACGUUCCCGGGCCUUGUACACACCGCCCGUCACACCAUGAGAGUUUGUAA
Molecule: ribosomal RNA, 1355 nt
Filed under: Lactiplantibacillus plantarum
Lineage: Bacteria; Bacillati; Bacillota; Bacilli; Lactobacillales; Lactobacillaceae
Description: bacterial SSU rRNA
Rfam family: Bacterial small subunit ribosomal RNA
Source: RNAcentral